ACAUAACUGAUGCCUCCGCGUAUCGACUUUGUGCGCAUUUUAGCUAUUAUGUGUUCUUUUAAUUAAAAUGAUUCUUUUUAAGAUUCAUCUAUUAAAAAUUUGCUUCGGCAUAAUUUUUUUUGAUGAUCUUGUUACUUUGAGUAAAUUAGAGUGUUCAAAGCAAACAGAUAUAGCAUUUGUGCGUUUGAAUACUACAGCAUGGAAUAACAAAAUUGAACAAGUCAGAAUUUUUUUGUUCUUUUUUCUUAUUUUGGCUUAGUUACGAUUAAUAGGAGUAGCUUGGGGGCAUUUGUAUUCAGAUGUCAGAGGUGAAAUUCUUAGAUUUUCUGGAGACAAACAACUGCGAAAGCAUUUGCCUAAAAUACUUCCAUUAAUCAAGAACGAAAGUUAAGGGAGUGAAGACGAUCAGAUACCGUCGUAAUCUUAACCAUAAACUAUGCCGACUAGGCUUUGGAUGAAAGAUUUUAAAAUAAGAGUUUUUCUUUUCUCUCCGGAGAUUAGAACUCUUAGAUUGCUUCCUUCAGUGCCUUAUGAGAAAUCAAAGUCUUUGGGUUCUGGGGCGAGUAUUCGCGCAAGCGAGAAAGUUAAAAGAAUUGACGGAAGGGCACCACCAGGCGUGGAGCUUGCGGCUUAAUUUGACUCAACACGGGAAAACUCACUAGUUUAAGACAAGAGUAGGAUUGACAGAUUAAUAGCUCUUUCUUGAUUUCUUGGAUGGUGAUGCAUGGCCGUUUUUAGUUCGUGAAUAUGAUUUGUCUGGUUAAUUCCGAUAACGAACGAGAUCUUAACCUGCUAAUUAGCGGCAAAUACGAUAUAUUCUUAUGUAGAAUUGAAUAUAGUGGAUUUGUUGGAUUUUGAAGAAAAUAUUGGAAUUACGUUAAAUGGGAUUCCUUUCCCUUUUCUACUAAAUUUACAUUUCCAUCUAUUUCUUUUUUGCGUAUGAAUGUAUUUGCUUGAUUGUAAAGCUUCUUAGAGGAACGAUGUGUG
This 987-nucleotide ribosomal RNA is filed under the name Plasmodium knowlesi. Its description in RNAcentral is "SSU rRNA". It matches the Rfam family "Eukaryotic small subunit ribosomal RNA", at positions 638 to 1428 of the family's 1831-position model. Lineage: Eukaryota; Apicomplexa; Aconoidasida; Haemosporida; Plasmodiidae. The record is from RNAcentral.